RNAcentral lists this long non-coding RNA (354 nucleotides) under Elaeis guineensis (African oil palm). RNAcentral's name for it is "long non-coding RNA (EGUI_LNC054164)". Lineage: Eukaryota; Viridiplantae; Streptophyta; Magnoliopsida; Arecales; Arecaceae. The record is from RNAcentral.
CUGUAUGUCAUACUAGUGUCACCAUAUUUCUUGGUUAAGAGGAUAACCAAUCCAUAUAGCACACAACGAUCUCCACUUGAUAAACGUCAUCGUCCCGUAAUGACGUAUUAUUUGAUCACGAAUAUGUUUAAGAAAUAUAUGAUAAAUCUUCUCUUUAUCGCACACUAGCAUAGUUCUAAAGACUUCAUCACAGCACAAGAGUUCAAGGAAGAUGUCACUUUGUGAUGAAAAAUAUCAGAAUAAUUUUUAUUCAAUAAUCAAUAAUUCAUGUAUCAGGAUAAACUCAAUCAUCAUAUGAUUGAUUUUAGGAUACAAUUCCCAACAACUCCCACUUGGACUAAAACCAAUCAGGGC